ACCAACUCUACAUUAUGAACUAUAAUUAGUUGAGAGAAACUAAAUAAUUCAAUUUUAGUUCUCCUUACAAAUAAAUAACCCAGUAAUUUAGGUAAGUUGUAGCUUAGUCUCAGUUUUAUAGUUCCAAUGCUUGAAAUUGUAUAACAAAUUUGUUUGCAAUCCACCUUGUAUUGAAUAAUUAUGAUAUCUGAAAUGAUUAUAAAUAAUCAUAAAUUUCUUUGUUUGCUUUUUUAAUUAUUCUUUCGUAUGUUUCAAGGAUGUUCUAAUUGUAG
RNAcentral lists this long non-coding RNA (272 nucleotides) under Elaeis guineensis (African oil palm). RNAcentral describes it as "long non-coding RNA (EGUI_LNC011851)". Lineage: Eukaryota; Viridiplantae; Streptophyta; Magnoliopsida; Arecales; Arecaceae. The record is from RNAcentral.